GUAUCAUCAUCUGGCCCCCAGGAGAGUAGUUCUACCUGAGUGGAUAUUGCUGGGUAGUGUUAUAGUAGUAGAGGAUGCUGGGAAGUGGGACAGCAGUAGAGGAUGCUGGGUAUUGUAGAGCUAUAGCAGAAGAGGAUGUUGGGUAGUGUAAUGGUAUAGCAGUAGAGGAUGCUGGAUAGUGGUAUAGCAGUAGAGGAUGCUGGGUAGUGGUAUUGCUGUAGAGGAUGCUGGGUAAAGGUAUAACAGUAGAGGAUGCUGGGUAGUGUAGUGGUAGAGCAGUAGAGGAUGCUGGGUAGUGGUACAGGAGUAGAGGAUUCUGGGUAGUGGUAUAGCAGUAGAGGAUGCUGGGUAGUGGUAUAGGAUUAGAGAAUUCUGGGUAGUGUAGUGGUAGAGCAGUAGAGAAUGCUGGGUAGUGUAGUGGUAUAGCGGUAGAGGAUGCUGGGUAGUGUAGUGGUAGAGCAGUAGAGUUUGCUGGGAAGUGUAGCGGUAUAGCAGUAGAGGAUGCCUGGUAGUGUCGUGGUAUGGCAGUAGAGUUUGCUGGGAAGUGUAGUGGUAUAGCAGUAGAGGAUGCCUGGUAGUGUAGUGGUAUAGCAGUAGAGGAUGCUGGGUAGUGUAGUGGUAGAGGAUGCUGGGUAGUGUAGUUGUAUAGCGGUAGAGGAUGCUGGGUAGUGUAGUGGUAUAUCGGUAGAGGAUGCU
This 696-nucleotide long non-coding RNA is filed under the name Salmo salar (Atlantic salmon). Its description in RNAcentral is "lncRNA (ENSSSAG00000087180.1)". The record is from RNAcentral. Lineage: Eukaryota; Metazoa; Chordata; Actinopteri; Salmoniformes; Salmonidae.